Molecule: ribosomal RNA, 468 nt
Filed under: uncultured archaeon
Lineage: Archaea
Description: bacterial SSU rRNA
Rfam family: Archaeal small subunit ribosomal RNA
Source: RNAcentral
UUCCGGUUGAUCCUGCCGGAGGCCAUUGCUAUCGGAGUCCGAUUUAGCCAUGCUAGUCGCACGGGUUUAGACCCGUGGCGAACAGCUCAGUAACACGUGGCCAAACUACCCUGUGGACGAGUAUAACCUCGGGAAACUGAGGCUAAUCCUUGAUACGGCUUCCAGUCUUGAACGACGGAAGUCGGAAACGCUCCGGCGCCACAGGAUGUGGCUGCGGCCGAUUAGGUAGACGGUGGGGUAACGGCCCACCGUGCCAGUAAUUGGUACGGGUGAUGAGAGUCAGAGCCCGGAGACGGUAUCUGAGACAAGAUACCGGGCCCUACGGGGCGCAGCAGGCGCGAAACCUUUACACUGCACGCGAGUGCGAUAGGGGGACUCCGAGUGCGAGGGCAUAUAGUCCUCGCUUUUCUAGACCGUAAGGAGGUUUAGGAACAAGGGCUGGGCAAGACCGGUGCCAGCCGCCGCGGU